This 497-nucleotide ribosomal RNA is filed under the name uncultured bacterium. RNAcentral describes it as "partial 16S ribosomal RNA". It matches the Rfam family "Bacterial small subunit ribosomal RNA", at positions 28 to 507 of the family's 1533-position model. The record is from RNAcentral.
GAUGAACGCUGGCGGCGUGCCUAAUACAUGCAAGUCGAGCGAACGGACGAGAAGCUUGCUUCUCUGAAGUUAGCGGCGGACGGGUGAGUAACACGUGGAUAACCUACCUAUAAGACUGGGAUAACUUCGGGAAACCGUAGCUAAUACCGGAUAAUAUUUUGAACCGCAUGGUUCAAAAGUGAAAGACGGUCUUGCUGUCACUUAUAGAUGGAUCCGCGCUGCAUUAGCUAGUUGAUAAGGUAACGGCUUACCAAGGCAACGAUGCAUAGCCGACCUGAGAGGGUGAUCGGCCACACUGGAACUGAGACACGGUCCAGACUCCUACGGGAGGCAGCAGUAGGGAAUCUUCCGCAAUGGGCGAAAGCCUGACGGAGCAACGCCGCGUGAGUGAUGAAGGUCUUCGGAUCGUAAAACUCUGUUAUUAGGGAAGAACAUAUGUGUAAGUAACUGUGCACAUCUUGACGGUACCUAAUCAGAAAGCCACGGCUAACUACGUG